Molecule: non-coding RNA, 189 nt
Filed under: Sphingomonas panacis
Lineage: Bacteria; Pseudomonadati; Pseudomonadota; Alphaproteobacteria; Sphingomonadales; Sphingomonadaceae
Source: RNAcentral
ACCGCGCCGGGUGCGACAGGUUCCCCGGCGACGGGGAUGAAAAGGGAACGGGAGAACCCCGGCUGCCCCUGCAACUGUAAGCGGCGAGCCAUCGCGCCACAGGCCAUUGGGAUCGCAAGAUCCCGAGAAGGCGGCGCGAACCGGCACUGACCCGCGAGCCAGGAGACCUGCCCGUCGCGGUCGUCCUUC